Marmota monax (woodchuck) is the source of this 73-nucleotide non-coding RNA. Lineage: Eukaryota; Metazoa; Chordata; Mammalia; Rodentia; Sciuridae. The record is from the annotation of a RefSeq genome assembly.
GGGGAUAUAGCUCAGUUGGUAGAGUGUUUGCCUCACAUGCACAAGGUCCUGGGUUCAAACCCCAGUAACCCCC